CUUUAUUUUCGUGGCGUUGCAUGCGCAGUGGGGUUGUUUUUUCCCCUGCAACAAGUAAAAAUGGCGACAUCCUCAGGAGCUGACAUAAUAGGGAAGACGCGGAUUUCCAAAUUCUGUGUCAGACAUGUUUGGGGGAAAAUCCAUACAUCUGCAUAAACAAAGAGAAGUAUGCGGAAGAAUGCAAGAUAUGUGCCAGUCCCUUCACUGUGUUCCCGCUGGUGUCCAGGAACGAGGAUGUGCUUCAAGAAGACAGAGGUGUGUCAGACCUGCAGCAAGAUGGUCUGUCAGACCUGGAGUAUGGUAUGUCAUAGAUGUCUUACCUACACCACCUUAAUACCUAUUCAAGCCAUGGCUACUUUGUCUUGACCAGAGCUGCCUGUAGCCAAAUCAAAGAUUUUAAGACACCGGGCUGGACAUGAAGGAUGACGUGCCGAAGUCAGACGUAAACAAGGAGUACUACAAACAAUAUGGGGAGAGACGUAUGGAGGGGGAGAGGAGGCUGCAGCCCUGUUAUUUCUGUGAUCGCAAAUUCAACAGCCAGUGUUUUCCCCUGUUAUCUCCCCGACUCCCUGU
Molecule: long non-coding RNA, 573 nt
Organism: Salmo salar (Atlantic salmon)
Lineage: Eukaryota; Metazoa; Chordata; Actinopteri; Salmoniformes; Salmonidae
Source: RefSeq, a predicted model, not a curated record